This 213-nucleotide long non-coding RNA is filed under the name Elaeis guineensis (African oil palm). Its description in RNAcentral is "long non-coding RNA (EGUI_LNC051053)". The record is from RNAcentral. Lineage: Eukaryota; Viridiplantae; Streptophyta; Magnoliopsida; Arecales; Arecaceae.
CCAAUGAUUGGGGAGACUUUUAAGCUUGAUUAGGAUUCCUAAUCCUAAUCUAAGAGGUAUAUAAGGCCUUUAAAAAGGCCUGUAUACAUGAAACAGUGGCCGUGUGGUCUUUGGGCUUGGUUUUUCACGGGAGAGGACCCGUGAUCUCAUGUGGAGGUGCAGCGGAGACUAAUCUCAUGAAGAGAGAGGUGCGAGGAUGCUGAGAGAAGGAGU